This 89-nucleotide transfer RNA is filed under the name candidate division WWE3 bacterium CG10_big_fil_rev_8_21_14_0_10_32_10. Its description in RNAcentral is "tRNA-Leu". It matches the Rfam family "tRNA". Rfam says of the family: Transfer RNA (tRNA) molecules are approximately 80 nucleotides in length. Their secondary structure includes four short double-helical elements and three loops (D, anti-codon, and T loops). The record is from RNAcentral. Lineage: Bacteria; candidate division WWE3.
GCCGGGGUGGCGGAAUUGGUAGACGCGCGGGACUCAAAAUCCCGUGGUACUAAAAUAUCGUGUGGGUUCGAUUCCCACCCUCGGCACCA